AUAAAAAUUGACUGCAGCAAUUGGAGUUUGCAAGCCAGCGAUCUGACUAAUAUUCACUGUGUGGGUGAGCUCAGAAGACAGCCUUGUCCACCUUGUCCCCGUGUUGUCGCAGCUACAUGCACAGAGAUGGGUUAUAGGGGACCCCCGAUUCGGCCUUUGCCUCCAAAUUCAGGACUCUGGUGGGCUGAAAUGAGCCUAAGUUUGGUUAGGAAGGGCGUCCCUGGACAGUGAUGGUUCAGUACUUGAACAAAAACUUUGAUUAAGAAAAGCUCGGGGGAUAUUACCUGUCGUUUCCAAUCAGAUUAAGAAGUCCACACCGCACCAGAUUCUUGGAUCAUAUUUUCGUUCAUGCAAA
This 355-nucleotide long non-coding RNA is filed under the name Populus trichocarpa (black cottonwood). Its description in RNAcentral is "long non-coding RNA (PTRI_LNC002564)". The record is from RNAcentral. Lineage: Eukaryota; Viridiplantae; Streptophyta; Magnoliopsida; Malpighiales; Salicaceae.